RNAcentral lists this ribosomal RNA (301 nucleotides) under uncultured bacterium. RNAcentral's name for it is "partial 16S ribosomal RNA". It matches the Rfam family "Bacterial small subunit ribosomal RNA", at positions 509 to 809 of the family's 1533-position model. The record is from RNAcentral.
CAGUCGCCGCGGUAAUACGUAGGUGGCAAGCGUUGUCCGGAAUUAUUGGGCGUAAAGGGCUCGCAGGCAGUUUCUUAAGUCUGAUGUGAAAGCCCACGGCUCAACCGUGGAGGGUCAUUGGAAACUGUUAAACUUGAGUGCAGGAGAGAAAAGUGGAAUUCCUAGUGUAGCGGUGAAAUGCGUUGAGAUUAGGAGGAACACCAGUGGCGAAGGCGGCUUACUGGACGAUAACUGACGCUGAGGCUCGAAAGCGUGGGGAGCAAACAGGAUUAGAGACCCCCGUAGUCCCUGUCUCUUAUAA